This 439-nucleotide ribosomal RNA is filed under the name uncultured bacterium. RNAcentral's name for it is "partial 16S ribosomal RNA". It matches the Rfam family "Bacterial small subunit ribosomal RNA", at positions 339 to 795 of the family's 1533-position model. The record is from RNAcentral.
CUACGGGUUGCUCCAGUGGGGAAUAUUGCACAAUGGAGGAAACUCUGAUGCAGCAACGCCGCGUGGAGGAUGACACUUUUCGGAGCGUAAACUCCUUUUAUAUAGGAAGAAGAUGACGGUACUAUAUGAAUAAGCGCCGGCUAACUCCGUGCCAGCAGCCGCGGUAAUACGGAGGGCGCAAGCGUUACUCGGAAUCACUGGGCGUAAAGAGCGUGUAGGCGGAUUAAAAAGUCAGAAGUGAAAUCCUAUAGCUUAAAUAUAGAACUGCUUCUGAAACUCUUAAUCUAGAAAAUGGGAGAGGUAGAUGGAAUUUCUGGUGUAGGGGUAAAAUCCGUAGAGAUCAGAAGGAAUACCGAUUGCGAAGGCGAUCUACUAGAACAUUAUUGACGCUGAGACGCGAAAGCGUGGGGAGCAAACAGGAUUAGAUACCCCUGUAGUC